Molecule: unclassified non-coding RNA, 232 nt
Filed under: fungal sp.
Lineage: Eukaryota; Fungi
Description: partial contains 5.8S ribosomal RNA, internal transcribed spacer 2, and large subunit ribosomal RNA
Source: RNAcentral
CGCACAUUGCGCCCUUUGGUAUUCCGAAGGGCAUGCCUGUUCGAGCGUCAUUACACCAAUCAAGCCUGGCUUGGUAUUGGGCCCCGGGGGCGACCCGGACCUCAAUGUGACCGGCUGGAGUGACCAAAUCUCAGCGUUGUGGCAAUCAAUUCGCUGGUGAGAUGGGUGCGCCGUGCCGUUAAACCUCUCUAAGGUUGACCUCGGAUCAGGUAGGGAUACCCGCUGAACUUAA